AACGUCAUGUUACACCGUAGAUACAGAUUUUACCAGGCUUAUUCUUGUUUCUUCGCACCUGUUUUCAGCAUCGUCUGGCUUCUUGGACUAAAUUCUAACCCCGUUUUAAAUAUCAUAUAUAUUUUAUAUUAUACUCCAUCCUUUCAUUGCUACAAACCCUUAUCAAGGUCAUAUGCUGGAUGAUGAGCCACAUACAAAGGUUAAAAACCAUGAAGCGAUACAUCAACAAACCUCGAAAUCCACCACAAACCCUUCUAUUACUGUAUCGAUCGUAAAAUCUUUCCUGGCUGGUUCACUAAGUGGAACCUGCUCAGCUCUUCUCUUCCAACCAUUAGAUUUGGUGAAAACACGACUGCAAUCACCAGUCAAAGCUGGUGAAGGCCGUCUUGGUGUUCUAUCUGUGAUAACACAUGUACUGAAGCAGGACAAAGUCACUGGCUUAUGGAAAGGUCUUGCCCCUACUGUUACAAGAUGUGUGCCUGGCAUUGGUAUCUAUUUCUCACUGCUCCAUUCAUUUAAAACCUACCUGGGGUCUGAUACCCCAACAAUUAUCGAAUCUUUGUCAAUUGGUGCUGCUGCUCGUACCCUCACAGUAGCCAUCAUGCACCCAAUCAGUGUCCUAAAGACAAGGUAUGAGGUUUAUACAGCGGUCUGGUCCCUACAUUGGCCCGAGACGUCCCAUUUUCAGCUCUUUACUUUGCAUUUUAUACCAAAACAAAAUUAUUUCUGUCCCCUGACAUUGUCAAUAAAUCUUAUCUACCUCUGCUACACUUCAACUGUGGAAUUCUUGCUGGUGUGCUGGCUUCAAUACUCACUCAACCAGCAGAUGUUGUUAAGACACUCAUGCAGCUACACCCCAAGACUUACCCAACUAUCCAAGAUGCUACACUUUAUAUAUAUCAGAAAGAAGGUUUGAUUGGGUUCCAAAGAGGUUUCGUCCCCCGUGCCUUACGCCGCUGCCUCAUGGCUGCUAUGGCUUGGACAGUAUAUGAACAUAUGAUGAAGAAAUUUGGCUUAGAAACUUGAUGAUUGACCAGCAGCCAAUUAUCUUUGAAUUUUCAAGUCAAAAUCUGAUGUGAGCAUUCAGUAAUAGACGUGUCCUUUUCAAGUCCUUUUUUCUUGAAACUCUGAACUCUGCACCAAACCCAAAGCUACAACAUUUUCCAAUUUGCGUGGAUCAGCUGAAUGGCAGUGAAUUGAGUGAGGAUUGUUGAUGUCCUACGUCGAGAUUCUCAAAGUCUGCACGAAAGAAAUUUGUCGUUAUCUAUAAAGAGCAAAAAAAGAAAUAAUAAAAAACUCCCCACAACAAAAUGGAAUAAAAUAUUUAUUUUAUUAUU
Molecule: unclassified non-coding RNA, 1337 nt
Filed under: Octopus sinensis (East Asian common octopus)
Lineage: Eukaryota; Metazoa; Mollusca; Cephalopoda; Octopoda; Octopodidae
Description: mitochondrial glycine transporter A, transcript variant X1
Source: RNAcentral